GUGCCUUAAACUAAUGAGUAAGGAAAAUAUAAAUCGCACGUGAUGGUGCGGUUAUGCCAUAACAUUAACGGCUUUUAAUUUUUGAAGGGGUCCAGGUCGUACUUGGGUGGCCUACCUACUUUCGUAGGAUGCCCUCGAUGCUGCGAUCUGCCCU
Molecule: small nuclear RNA, 154 nt
Filed under: Strigamia maritima
Lineage: Eukaryota; Metazoa; Arthropoda; Chilopoda; Geophilomorpha; Linotaeniidae
Description: U12 minor spliceosomal RNA
Rfam family: U12 minor spliceosomal RNA
About the family: Although the U12 sequence is very divergent from that of U2, the two are functionally analogous.
Source: Rfam by way of RNAcentral